UAACUGCGAGUGAAGCGGGAAAAGCUCAAAUUUAAAAUCUGGCGGUCCUUGGCCGUCCGAGUUGUAAUUUAGAGAAGCGUCUUCCGCGCCGGACCGUGCACAAGUCUCCUGGAAUGGAGCGUCGUAGAGGGUGAGAAUCCCGUCUUUGGCACGGAUCCCCGGUGCUUCUGUGAUGCGCUCUCGAAGAGUCGAGUUGUUUGGGAAUGCAGCUCAAAAUGGGUGGUGAACUCCAUCUAAAGCUAAAUAUUGGCGAGAGACCGAUAGCGAACAAGUACCGUGAGGGAAAGAUGAAAAGCACUUUGGAAAGAGAGUGAAACAGUACGUGAAAUUGUUGAAAGGGAAACGCUUGAAGUCAGUCGCGUCGACCGAGACUCAGCCUCGCCUUGGCUUGGUGUACUUCUCGGCACGACGGGUCAGCGUCGAUUUCGUCUCUCGGAAAAUGGCAAGGGAAAGGUGGCACCUUUGCGGGUGUGUUAUAGUCUCCUGUCGCACGCGAGGGGUUGGAUCGAGGAACUCAGCACGCGCCUUUUGGUGUCGGGGCUUUGGCCCACGUAACGUGCUUAGGACGCUGGCGUAAUGGCUUUAAACGACCCGUCUUGAAACACGGACCAAGGAGUCCAACAUGCCCGCGAGUGUUCGGGUGGAAAACCCGUGCGCGUAAUUAAAGUGAAAGUUGGGACCUCUGUCGUGGAGGGCACCGACGCCCGGACCAGACCUUCUGUGACGGAUCUGCGGUAGAGCGUGUAUGUUGGGACCCGAAAGAUGGUGAACUAUGCCUGAAUAGGGUGAAGCCAGAGGAAACUCUGGUGGAGGCUCGUAGCGAUUCUGACGUGCAAAUCGAUCGUCAAAUUUGGGUAUA
Molecule: ribosomal RNA, 859 nt
Filed under: Lactarius subplinthogalus
Lineage: Eukaryota; Fungi; Basidiomycota; Agaricomycetes; Russulales; Russulaceae
Description: partial large subunit ribosomal RNA
Rfam family: Eukaryotic large subunit ribosomal RNA
Source: RNAcentral